RNAcentral lists this ribosomal RNA (492 nucleotides) under uncultured bacterium. RNAcentral's name for it is "partial 16S ribosomal RNA". It matches the Rfam family "Bacterial small subunit ribosomal RNA", at positions 29 to 507 of the family's 1533-position model. The record is from RNAcentral.
AGUGAACGCUGGCGGUAGGCCUAACACAUGCAAGUCGAACGGCAGCACAGUAAGAGCUUGCUCUUACGGGUGGCGAGUGGCGUACGGGUGAGGAAUACAUCGGAAUCUACUUUUUCGUGGGGGAUAACGUAGGGAAACUUACGCUAAUACCGCAUACGACCUACGGUUGAAAGCAGUGGAUCUUCUGACCUUGCGCGAUUGAAUGAGCCGAUGUCGGAUUAGCUAGUUGGCGGGGUAAAGGCCCACCAAGGCGACGAUCCGUAGCUGGUGUGAGAAGAUGAUCAGCCACACUGGAACUGAGACACGGUCCAGACUCCUACGGGAGGCAGCAGUGGGGAAUAUUGGACAAUGGGCGCGAGCCUGAUCCAGCCAUACCGCGUGGGUGAAGAAGGCCUUCGGGUUGUAAAGCCCUUUUGUUGGGAAAGAAAAGCAGCAGGUUAAUACCCCGCUGUUCUGACGGUACCCAAAGAAUAAGCACCGGCUAACUUCGUG